Molecule: ribosomal RNA, 494 nt
Filed under: uncultured bacterium
Lineage: Bacteria
Description: partial 16S ribosomal RNA
Rfam family: Bacterial small subunit ribosomal RNA
Source: RNAcentral
GACGAACGCUGGCGGCGUGCUUAACACAUGCAAGUCGAACGGUGAAGCGCCUUCCUUUUUGGUGGGUGUGGAUGAGUGGCGGACGGGUGAGUAACACGUGAGUAACCUGCCCCCUUCUUCUGGAUAACCGCAUGAAAGUGUGGCUAAUACGGGAUAUUCUGGGUCUGUCGCAUGAUGGGUCUGGGUAAGAUAUUGUGUCGGGGGUGGAUGGGCUCGCGGCGUAUCAGCUUGUUGGGGUGGUGAUGGUCUACCAAGGCGAUGAGGGGUCGGCGGGCUUGGCGGGUGGCCGGCCUCAGUGGGACAGCGGCCCGACCGAGACUCCGACAGGAGGCAGCAGCGGGGAGUAGGGAACAGUGGGCAAAAGUCUGAUGCAGCGACGCGCCGUGAGGGAUGGCGCCCUGCGGGGUGUGAACCUCUUUCGGUAGUGAAGCACGCCUGCCUGGUUUGUGGGUGGGUUGACGGUAGCUGGAAAAGAAGCGCCGGCUAACUACGUG